ACCGCCCUGGGAGCAGCGCAGCUCCUCUGGUGCUCAGCUGUGUCUUUGUGAUGCCUACAGAAUGUUUCAAAUAUAUAUAGAAACAAAUAGGCAUUUAGUCAACAGGAUGGGGAAACACUGCUCUGAGUGUCUGUUAUGACAUGUACAAAGCAUCACCAUGGCCUGUACUGUGAUCACUACCAUAAAGCACAAUAAAAAGGCUUUAUUUGGACUGGAAUUUGCUGCAAUGUCCUCACAAGAACACGAAUGCUGUCCAGGGGGUGGGUUCUGCAUGUGAGUGGUGGGCAGCAGGCAAUCCUCCUUGACAGCUUUGCUAUUCCAAGCCACAAGUGGUGUCAUAUCCAGUGUGUCCUUUUUGUAGACAGCCAGAACCCAAACAUAUUAAAUAUUUUAUUUGGGAAAAAUAAAUAAAUACAGUAAUGAUUCCUGUGCUCUGCCCUCCUUUAACAGUGUUUAGAACUGGCUUUAGGAGAGAGCAAGUUCUAUCACUCUGAUCGGUUUCAUAAGAGGAA
This is a long non-coding RNA of Phasianus colchicus (ring-necked pheasant), 512 nucleotides long. RefSeq lists it as uncharacterized. The record is from RefSeq and is a predicted model, not a curated record. Lineage: Eukaryota; Metazoa; Chordata; Aves; Galliformes; Phasianidae.